CACUUACCCAUGAAGCACGCACCCCCAGGGCAGCACCCACGUGCCCAACCCCUGCCACACGUCUCUCUUUCUCUCCCUUAUCCUUAUCCCCACCGCAUGUCUCUCUUUCUCUCGUUUCUGUCCUCCUCGAUCCAAAAGCACAUCGGCCGGCGCCCGCCACCACCUCCACCCCGAACCCGGCCAACACCACGCCCUCCAGUCCUGGCCUCGCCGGCCACCACUGUGUCGAGCGGCCGCGGCCACUUCCCCAUUCGUCCCCAGCGCCGUCGGCCCCGGCUACUUUCCCCUUCACCCCCAGCCCCGUCGGCCCCAGCCACUCCCCCUGUCGCCACGGUAGGCCCACCGGCGCCCGCGCACCACCUCGCUGGCCGCCAUCUCGUCGGCCGGCCCCGGCCUUGGUGGCCGUCAUCUUGCCCGCAGGCCUCGACCUCAUUGCCUGCCGGCCCCGGCCUCGUCGCUCCCGGCGGCCUCCGCGUCCCGUCGCUCCUCGCCCCCAGCAGCCUCUGCGCCCCGUGGCCCUCGCCGGCCUCGAGCGACCCCGACCACCUCAUCCCCGUAGGCCUCUGCCAGCCUCGACCCCGGGCAUCCAUGGUGGCGUAAGUGUGCUUUGUUUUUGGAGAAAGAAAGAAGAAGGGAGAGGUGCAUGGUUGCUGGUUUCUGCUGCUCCGGCGACCACGGGCAUAGGGGAUGCUCGCAGGGGAGGAGCUGGCGUCGAUUGAACUCAAAAUGGCUGUGUGCUGGAUCUUGGGCGGCUAUUGUGAAAUAUUCGAUGUAUUCUGUUUUGCCCUAUAUCAGCAAGUGAUGAUGUAUUCUGUGUAAAUAUAGUAACUUUGUAUUUUGAAACUUGUUCAUUCAUCAUUGACUCUUAGAACAAAGUGUCGAUCAAUACUGCGGUGUUCAUCGUUGUCCGUUAGUUCCUUGUAGGCUUUGCAUAUGGACUGUUGGUUUAGAUUAUUUUAAUAGGAACAAUUAUUUGC
RNAcentral lists this ribosomal RNA (977 nucleotides) under Triticum aestivum (bread wheat). RNAcentral describes it as "partial small subunit ribosomal RNA". Lineage: Eukaryota; Viridiplantae; Streptophyta; Magnoliopsida; Poales; Poaceae. The record is from RNAcentral.